Long non-coding RNA from Onychostruthus taczanowskii (white-rumped snowfinch), 5667 nucleotides. RefSeq lists it as uncharacterized. NCBI's taxonomy places the organism in Eukaryota, Metazoa, Chordata, Aves, Passeriformes, Passeridae. The record is from RefSeq and is a predicted model, not a curated record. The transcript is spliced from 4 exons.
GGAAAUCCUUGUCUAUUGCACUGUGCAGCAAAAAUAAUGUGGGAAAAACCGUCUACUUUGCAUGUGAGUGUUACAGAGGGAAACUGAGUCAUGGGAUGUGUCCAAGGGGCCAAGAUAAGAGCUUAGCCAGCCAAAUCCCACUCCAAGUGACUCCUCUCCCCUACAGAGCAAGAAGAGCUUCUGCAGCUGGAUGGAGAAAAGGAGGCCCUGAGUUAGUCAUCUGUAUUUACUAAAGAAAAAAGAAGCAUCAAGCAAAUAAGCAAAAAAAUCCCACCCCCCCCCGAGCCCACAAAACACAAAAAUACUUCUUCAUUUUGUGAAUUUACAUCUGGUGCUCUCCAAAACUGCAAUGUCUUUUCUGGGUCUGUUCAGCUGUUACAGAUUUCCAAGUCUUCCAAAGAAGGCCUAAAGGCCUUUGGCCUAGAAACUCUGACCUCACGGCUACUGUGAACCUUCACCUAGUUGACUGUAGGAAGCAUUAGGAAAAUAUAAAGCCCUACCAACACUCAGUAAAAUUUUCUACACAUGAAAAAUAUGUCUAGCUCAGCACAGGCAAAUUUUUCAAGAGCAGGCAACCUGGCAAUUAGCCAAAAUACUAAUAAGGGCCCCCUCCUCCAGCUGACAUUAGUAUUCAAAUCUCUCUCUCCCUUGUUGCCAGGUACAUCUGGGAGAUUCUAUGCAGGGAGCAGCCUAGAAUGUGUUGUUAGUAUACAUAACAUAGUAUAAUAUUUUUUGGUUACUGCAAUUUCAAGUUUGCCAUAUUUUUGCAGCUUGGGAGGACUCAGUAGGCCCAGGCCAGGCACAGAGCAAGGACCUGUUGUGCAAGAUGAUGUAACUGCCCAUUUUUACUAAAACCAAAACUCAUUCCCUGCCCACGCAGCUUGCAGUGUCAGUUACCACAGCACAUGCUGGGCAGGCAGAGCUCAGGAAUAGGGAGCUUGGACAAGAACACAGGCAGAGGAGAUAGCAGCAAAACAAAUCUCACCGGGCUCUUUGAGUCAUCUCCUGCCUGGAUGGCGAGCAAAGCAGAAAAGGGAAAAAAAGUACAGUUACACCAAGAAGAGAGUCUCCAGACAGCUACCUGCUUCCUAAUCUGCUUGUUACCUGAAGACUAAGCCUUCUCAGUUCUUUGCACUAACUAGAGUCCUCUUUACCUCUCUUCCCAUAAAAAUCAUAUUAAUUUCUUACUCUUUAAGUGAAAUGAGUAGGCAGUGAUUUUAUGAUGUGCUUCUUGGGCAGAGAUAGAAAUGGGAUAAACUUCUGAGGCAGAAAUAACACAAAAUUUGUUUCCAUGUUUGCAGAACAAAUGGAUGAAUUUAAGGGAAGGCAAUAUAGUCACAAGAAUAUUUCACUGCCCAUGCUAAAUAACAGAAAGGUCUCUGCACUGUAGUAAUUUGUCCCCAGGGGAAAUGAUAAUGAAAUAAAUACUACACAGUAUUUGUUUAACUCAGGAAUGUGCAAAGAGAAAGAAGAGCAGGAGAUGAUGAAGCCUAAGGAAGAGGCUUUACCCCUUUUAAGCCAAGAGGUUUUUACCCCUUCCUCGUAACCAGCCACAGUCAUGGAAGCACUUUAUCUUGUUCUCCGAGUUCUUGGACAUGAACCUCUAACUAAGCAUACCAGAACUCCCCCUACUGAGGAGCCAUCACAACCACAACUAAAUACUUGGGGAAUUUCUUUGGCAAAAGACUUCUCUGUUGGAAAGUGAUGAUUUGUUGAAAACAAAGCUUUCUGUGGAAAACUGUCAUCUUCAACAAAAUGUUAGCUGGAAGAUGUUCCUCUGUUCACAGUGCAAUUGCUUGGCAAGACUAGGCAGAUCCAGCAUCCCUUCUGGGGUCCUUCUGCACCAGCCAUGCACUGCAUGGACAGACAGACAGACAAGCACAACCCAGAAAGGGGAGCCUCUUUGGUGAGAAGGCCAGAUUUAGAAGAAGUGUUUGAGCCUGGCCCUCCCACUGGGCUACUGCUAUAAUGAAAGGGAAUUGGUUCCUAUCACAGUCUCUUUCUCCAAAAGGUAGGCUUAGGCACUUUGUUCUUCUUUUUCAAGAAGAGAACAAACAAAAAGACAAAAUCACCAAACUUUUUAUAAAAUAGCACUCUGUUUCCACACUCUAGUUUUAACACAAAUUACAUAAUUGCACUCACACUAGGGCUUGAUAAUUAUUUUGGCUAAAGAAAACUAAACAAGGACAAAACCUUGUAAGCCUUGUGAUAGCACUACAUUUAGAAAGAUUAAGAUUUAAAGUCUUUAGAAGGAUAAGACUUAAAAUGAGAGACCCUUCAUUGCUCUCUACCCCCCCAGCCUGAGACUGGAUCUCCUUGCAUGCAACACUUCAUUAUCAGCACUGUUUCAACAAAUCAGUGGAACAAGGGGCAAGCUGAGUUUCCUGACUAGGGAAGCAGUGCUUUCUGAUGGUGUUUAAGAGCCCUCAAAGUCUGCCUAAAUGUGCCAGAUACUCCUUUUAAAUUAUGUGGCUACAGUAAGAUUUUGUUUCCAAUAAUCUAACUGCAGGAAAUGUUUUCUUUUAAGCCAGAGGAAAGACAGAAAGGCCCUUUCUGGUUCUUGAAUCUUUUUAUGCUGUCACAAGCAACUGCAUUGUUUAAAUCCUUUCCCAGAGAUCUCAGACCCUGUAUAUGCCAAGGGCUUAUAAAACACAGCUCAGCUGCUUGGCAAAUUCUUAGUGAGCUCAACCUGGGUGUGUUCUUGUCCAUGCUCAUGGCUGUAGGGUUGGGGCCCAGGGCUGAGGAGCUCAGUGUCCUGCACUGUGCUGCCUUGCUCAAGCAGGUAAUGCAUGUUUUACUGUAGCUGUCCUGAGUCUGAAAAGAACUGUGCCUCUCCCUGAUUCUGUAUUUCCAAGGCAGCAUCCUCAUCUAGCUUCAAGUCCCUAUCAAACUUAGACAAAAAACAAAUGAAAUAAUUACCUAUUGAAUACAUAUAUAUAUAUAUAUAUACACACACACAUAUAUAUAUAUUCUACCAAAGAACAAGCAAUUUUAAAAUAUAUUUAGCUGAUUUUUUGGAAUCCAUAAGCCAUGGAAACAGGAUAUAGACAAAAUCUUACAGAUGCUACUGGCUGGAACACAGCUGAGUGUAAAUUAAUUGAGAUUCUAAGCAACAAGGAAGGCCUGUCCACAAACUAACUGUGAGCUCACAGCCACCUUGACCCAAGUCUGCAGUUAGGGUUAAGAGCUGAGCCACAGCCAUUUCAAACACCAUGACAUUAUCUCACCUCAAGUCCUUUUGCUAGUCCAAAAUAAGGUUUAUUUGUGGAUUGGUAUUUUGUGACUGACAUUUUUAUGUACCUUAUUUUCUGUUGUGGCAAUGACUGUUGUAGCAACAACAAGUGAUAAUGCCUUGUACUUCAGAGUUUGCUGAUGUAUAAGCUACUCCAGAGGCAAUUGCCCAGGGAGAAAGCAGCAAUGAGCCAUGCAUUAGCCAUGUAGAGAGCAUUGAGAAGAGUUAGAGCAUGCUGCUGUGCCACCAAUCUUCUCAGCAAUUAGAAAAAGAAGGGUUGGCAGAGAUACUGGGUCCCCGGCAGUGUUUCCCGUCAGGUUUUUUGAGCUGUAAAACUCAAGGGCUAGAAAAGGAAAAAAAAUUUCAAGAGCCACUUGGUGUGAGGAAGGGGCUCUUUGCCAAAGCAUAGGUCAAUGGAAAUCUGCUGUGACCAGAAGAGUAAGUAAUACAGAGAUUGCCCCCAUGUCACAGUGUCUGCUAGCAUAGUGACUUCCAGCAUCCACAUCACCACUUCUGACUGACAAGGUGACCAUGACUCCAUCAGCAAUGUGUACACACCAUGUUUGGUACUGUCCUAGAUGUAAAACAGUUUAUGUAGAAAAGGAAUAUUAAACCUAUCUCCCCAAAUAGCAAAAAGAGAUUCUUUUCCUAAAAUAUUGAUGCUGAAUGUCAGUUUGAUGCCAAUCACUGAUUUUUAAUUAUUUUUUUAUUGCUCCACAAGACUUUUCCAUGCAAAUGCUAAGUGUUCCAAUUGCUUAGAUAAUCCAGUCUAAAUAUGUAUAGACUUUGUAGGAAGUAAUGGCUUGGUUAUAGCUUUUACUAAUGGUAGGAGAGAGAUCCAUAAUAUAAUCUUGUAAGACUUGACUCAGUCGGACUUCAGAAUCAGAUUUUGGCACACUUGUCAUCUCUGUAUUUAGACUCUUUGACAUGGAUUUACAGCCUUUUAAAUCUGUUUCUUCCCAACUUUCAGUCUAAACAUUUCCUUGGAUACACAGAAAUAUCCAGGACAAAUUAAAAUACAUGCACUGACUAGCUGAUCACAGAUAACUUCAUCUGGUAGUCAAGAGGAAUAUUCCUAUUACACUGUUGUUGACAAAUCCAGAAGCAAAGAUUCUUUAUGAGAAAAAUGUGCUGCUAGCAGUGCAGGCUUGCCAGAAAAUCAAAUUCUGUGAACAUAAACGGCUUGAUACUGAGGAGAAAUAACAUUUAGGCCACUAUUGGAAAGCUACAGUGUUGUGGUUUUUUUCUUUUUAUCACUCAAAAGAGAGAAAAAAGGAACUUCAAGUCAAGUGUCUUUGCACUAAGCUAAAAGAAAUUAUUAAAAGGGAUUUUUUGUUAGUUUGGUUUUGGUUUUUGGUUGGUUGGUUGGCUGGCUUGGUUUUUUUGGUUUGUCCUUUAUAUGGAAUCUAUCUGGAGAGAAUGGCAUUGAUAAAGUGUUGAAAAAACAGAAAGCAGACUGCCUCCUAUAGUCUGUAUGUCCCGUAUGCUUUUAUCUGCACCAGUAGCAAGAGGAACAACUUCAGGCAGCCAGGAUAAUAUCACUGUCACUUCUAUGGUAUGGUCACUUCUGUGCAAGUCCCUCUUUGAAAGCAGGUACCUAUGAAGUAGUACAACUCCACCAGACUUCACUGGAUAGCACUAGCUUACAGCAGCUCUGAUUUUCAUCCUUGUUCUGUGACCACCAGUAUGCUAGUAAACAAUGAUAAGAGAUUUAAAGAAAAGACCAAUGAUUUUCUGUAGUCAUUUCAGGUUUUCUUGUACUGUGCUUUUCCAAUUUAGAGAUGACUUCCUUAUUAACCCAGUUUGCCUUGUGGUAUCACAAAUAAUCGAGGUGCUUUUCUCUGCUCUGCUGGUCUACCACUCAGUACAAAAGCUGCAUAUGCAAUUGGAUGACAAAAACUUAUCUACUGCAGAGUAGCAGCAGGCAAUCCUUGGUAUUGACCCUGUGAUCUUUACCAAGUUGGAAUUGCCAUGGAAUUGAUUGAGGUGUGCAGAAUUCACCUUUAAAGUUCAUACAUGAACAGAAACACACAUGAACAGAAACACACGAGUAGGGACUCUCACAGUCCCAAGAAAGGUAAAAUGUAACAUCAUAUGCUAAUGCAAGGAUAUCAGAAAUUAAAGUCCUUCUACAAAGAGCAGAAAUUAACUAUUAUUUUGUUCUGUUCAUUUAUUUUCAACUAGGUAUUUCCCCAACCCUUUAUUAUUUUAGAGUAUAAUGAGAAACACGCUUCCAAGCCUAUAUGAAUGUGAUGUUUCAAAAAUAUAUUCCCCACGUAAAUUAGAAGAAAAAUAUAAACUUCAUUGUUUCAUUGCAACUAUUCAUUUUGUCUUUUUUUUCCCCCAGUUUAAGCUCCCAUUUAUGUGUUUCAAAUGCUACAAAUUAUAAAGGAAUUGUUCAAAGUAGAUGUUUCAAUGUCAAAACCUUUCCUGUA